CCCGGGGGCUAAUACCGGAUAAUAUUUUGAACCGCAUGGUUCAAUAGUGAAAGACGGUUUCGGCUGUCACUUAUAGAUGGACCCGCGCCGUAUUAGCUAGUUGGUAAGGUAACGGCUUACCAAGGCGACGAUACGUAGCCGACCUGAGAGGGUGAUCGGCCACACUGGAACUGAGACACGGUCCAGACUCCUACGGGAGGCAGCAGUU
Molecule: ribosomal RNA, 208 nt
Filed under: uncultured Staphylococcus sp.
Lineage: Bacteria; Bacillati; Bacillota; Bacilli; Caryophanales; Staphylococcaceae
Description: partial 16S ribosomal RNA
Rfam family: Bacterial small subunit ribosomal RNA
Source: RNAcentral